AGGUGGGGGGCAGGGGGUCUGUCCAGUGAUUCCAGCCACAUGUGAUAGAUGACCAGUGAUGCUUUCCUUAGGAUCUGUACAGCACUGUAAAGCAUGCACACUGGUAGUGGCUGACUUGAUCAAAUUCUGGCUUCGUGAACCGGAAUGAAAACGCACAUAACUCUUUUGGAAAACUUGGUGGGUAAAGUGCCUUGUGUGAUUGUGGAACAAAGACGUUUUCUAAUCAGAUUUAUCAAGCUGCAAAGAGGGAAUUUUAGCAAACGAAUGGAAGCAGCAACGUUCUGUCACCAGGAAAUACUGCUUUAUCCAGAAUUGGUGUCAAGUAUUUAUUUAAUUAGAACUUUGCAAAAUGAAAGUUGAAGUAAUACUUCGGAAGUCAAAGCGGCAACAUCUCCAGAUGGUAUGAAGGCAGACGAUGAUGGUAAUAGUUUUUUCCUUUUUUUUACAUAUUGGUGUCAUGGAAUUUAAGAUAGUUCUAGUGAUUACAUUAUGAAGCAAAAGGGUGGUUAUUUAUUAUGUAUGGUCUAUUACAUUGUGUGACAGAUUGUGAUAGCAGUUCUUACUGGUUUCAUGUACAGGUUUCUGUCUGUCUUGUCAAUGUCUGAAACCUGAAUUUCAGUUUUCUAAUCUUGAAUCUUAGCUGCUCCCAUGUUUAUGGUUUCCAGAAAAAUGCAAUAAAGCCUAGAAUACUUGUACUUACAUAAUAAUCUAACUCAUGAACCAUGAAAAAUGCAGUUUUUUUAAUUAGGCAAGGAUGUCUGAUUUCUUGAUUUAAAUUUAAGAAUG
Molecule: long non-coding RNA, 786 nt
Organism: Dipodomys spectabilis (banner-tailed kangaroo rat)
Lineage: Eukaryota; Metazoa; Chordata; Mammalia; Rodentia; Heteromyidae
Exons: 3
Source: RefSeq, a predicted model, not a curated record